GACGAACGCUGGCGGCGUGCUUAACACAUGCCAGUCGAACGGAAAGGCCUGUCCUUCCUUGUGUUGGACGGGUACUCGAGUGGCGAACGGGUGAGUAACACGUGAGUGAUCUGCCCCCAACUUGGGUAUAAGCCUGGGAAACUGGGUCUAAUUCCCGAUAGGACUGCAGGGUGGUGCCUGUGGUGGAAAACGAUUUUCUAGUGGUUGGGGAUGAGCUCGCGGCCUAUCAGCUUGUUGGUGGGGUAAUGGCCUACCAAGGCGGCGACGGGUAGCCGGCCUGAGAGGGUGGACGGCCACAUUGGGACUGAGAUACGGCCCAGACUCCUACGGGAGGCAGCAGUGGGGAAUAUUGCACAAUGGGCGGAAGCCUGAUGCAGCGACGCCGCGUGGGGGAUGACGGCCUUCGGGUUGUAAACUCCUUUCGACCGCGAGGAAGCCGCCUGGUUGGAAGGGUGGUGACGGUAGUGGUAGAAGAAGCACCGGCUAACUACGUG
RNAcentral lists this ribosomal RNA (494 nucleotides) under uncultured bacterium. Its description in RNAcentral is "partial 16S ribosomal RNA". It matches the Rfam family "Bacterial small subunit ribosomal RNA", at positions 28 to 507 of the family's 1533-position model. The record is from RNAcentral.